RNAcentral lists this ribosomal RNA (468 nucleotides) under uncultured bacterium. RNAcentral's name for it is "partial 16S ribosomal RNA". It matches the Rfam family "Bacterial small subunit ribosomal RNA", at positions 28 to 507 of the family's 1533-position model. The record is from RNAcentral.
GACGAACGCUGGCGGCGUGCUUAACACAUGCAAGUCGAACGGUAAGGCCCUGCUUUUGUGGGGUGCUCGAGUGGCGAACGGGUGAGUAACACGUGAGUAACCUGCCCUUGACUUUGGGAUAACUUCAGGAAACUGGGGCUAAUACCGGAUAGGAGCUCCUGCUGCAUGGGGGGGGUUGGAAAGUUUCGGCGGUUGGGGCUGGACUCGCGGCUUAUCAGCUUGUUGGUGGGGUAGUGGCUUACCAAGGCUUUGGCGGGUAGCCGGCCUGAGAGGGUGACCGGCCACAUUGGGACUGAGAUACGGCCCAGACUCCUACGGGAGGCAGCAGUGGGGAAUAUUGCACAAUGGGCGGAAACCUGAUGCAGCAACGCCGCGUGCGGGAUGACGGCCUUCGGGUUGUAAACCGCUUUCGCCUGUGACGAAGCGUGAGUGACGGUAAUGGGUAAAGAAGCACCGGCUAACUACGUG